RNAcentral lists this ribosomal RNA (252 nucleotides) under uncultured bacterium. RNAcentral's name for it is "partial 16S ribosomal RNA". It matches the Rfam family "Bacterial small subunit ribosomal RNA", at positions 524 to 776 of the family's 1533-position model. The record is from RNAcentral.
UACGGAGGAUGCGAGCGUUAUCCGGAUUUAUUGGGUUUAAAGGGUGCGUAGGCGGAUCGUUAAGUCAGUGGUCAAAUUGAGGGGCUCAACCCCUUCCCGCCAUUGAAACUGGCGAUCUUGAGUGGAAGAGAAGUAUGCGGAAUGCGUGGUGUAGCGGUGAAAUGCAUAGAUAUCACGCAGAACCGCGAUUGCGAAGGCAGCAUGCCGGCUUCCUACUGACGCUGAAGCACGAAAGCGUGGGGAUCGAACAGG